ACAAAGGAAGCCAUUAAGGCACCAUGGUUUCGGCCCAUACCUCGAACUUAUUUAAGUUCCCUUUGUU
Molecule: transfer RNA, 67 nt
Filed under: Potomida littoralis
Lineage: Eukaryota; Metazoa; Mollusca; Bivalvia; Unionida; Unionidae
Description: tRNA-Arg
Source: RNAcentral